UCCAGAAAAACACAAAGCUCUUCACUCAUCUCUUGCCUAGUUUCUUUCACGCUAGAUUCCUCCUAGAGGCACCAUCCAUUCUCAAACCUUUACAUCCUUUUAUUGUACCGUACAAUCCCAAACCUCCUCACCCUUCUAAAACAAAAAGCUCUCCACUUUCAGACAACACACGAUGGUUUCCUUCGCACUGGUUUUGACCCAGCGUUGUCAUUACUUUAACUGUUGAGUGCAGGGAUAUCAUGAAGGUCUGAUGGGUGUGUUUAAUCUUUGACACGUUGUUGGCUAGAGAUGCGCGAGGUUCUGUAUCGUCUAUAUGAUAGAGGCGUUUGGUGACGUGUGCCCAACCCCUAAAUCUUUUUAGUUGUGUAUUAAUGAGUUGCCUUGAUUUCCGAUACACCAUUGGAUCAUACUUAAGUGUUUUUUGUACGGCCGAGAUGGAGUCUUUCACUAUCCUUUGGUGUCUUGUCGCACAUAUCUCUGUGAUGUGCCUAUCGUUGGAUUAGCACUUCAGUGCCUUUUUGAAGGCCACGACGAAUAUGAGAAGUUGGGUCGUGAUUAAGGCUCUCACACAGUUUUCCUAUAAAUAGAGGGUUUUCCUCUUUCAUUUCUUCACUUUCUAUUCUUUUCUUCUUUCCUUUGUUACCAUAGUGGAAAUAGAAUGGGGGAUUCAUCAAGUGAGAUUAGUGUGGAUGUGUUGUUAGACCCUCCCCCUUCUUUUGCUGCUUCAUCCUUUCAACGUCACCACCAAAGGGAAUCCUCGUCCACCCCUAAUAAGAGGAAUUAAGAUGUUUUCCAAGAGAGCCUUGUUGUGCUUGAUCAGCUCCAAGCUUGACCGAACAGAGAAAGUGGGUAAGAUUCUCGAUGAGCUUGUUAGACGAGUGAUGAGUGUGAAAUUAUACUAUAUUUGUAUUGCAUUAAACUUGUAUUUUAGGACAUAAUUAGGACUUGAUUGUUUUUAGCUUUUAUUUCUUUUUGUUUGGGUUGAGUUGGUGUUUUUGGCUAUGUUGUGCAGUUUAGAUGGAUUGAAGACAAAAAGAAUAGAGAUUAGGUGCAAGAAGAUGGAAUUGGUGUUGAGGCUAUGCGAAGACCAAUUGAAGGAUGAGGAGUCAAUUACUGAGGCAUUGGAAAGAUUAAAUGAGCUAAAUGAAGCUUGCCCUCAUCAUGGCAUUCCACCUUCGAUGUUGGUUCAGAACUUCUACAGUGGACUAGACUUUCCAUCACAACAAUUGUUGGACUCUUCAUUCACCUUAAAUCAUUCUUUGUUUGUAAGUAUUUUGAAGUAACCAUUCUUUGUUUAUCCCACCUUAAAUCAUUCACCUUUGCCCCAUUACAACCAUUUAAAGACCUCUUGAUUUUUGCAUGCAUUCAAAUACAGUAAGUGACAAUUUGGUCUAUAAUCAAGCCUAUGGUAAUUUAAUUUCAUGAAAAUUUGAGCGAAAUACUAUGACCUUUAAACACAUGAGAGUGAUGAGAGAUAGUGAUCCUAAUUUAUGCAGUCGUUAUGGCUCAAAGACUUAGCUUGAAUUAAAUUUGUUUAUGAUUGUCUUGUCUUGACGUCUGGAUUCUUUCAAAACUAACAUGAGAUUGCUUGUUAUUUUGGGUUAUGGGUUCUAUAUCAUCAUUCAUGCAUGAUUGUGAAAGUUAGACAUAAUACUUGCUUGAGGACAAACAAAAGAUAAGCUUGGGGGGAUUUGAUGAGUGUGAAAUUAUGCUAUAUUUGCGUUGCAUUGAACUUGCAUUUUAGGAUAUAACUAGGACUUUAUGAUUGUUUUUAGCUUUUAUUUCUUUCUGUUCGGGUUGAGCGAGUGUUUAUGGCUAUACUGUGCAAUUUAGAUGGAUUAGAGACAAAAAAAGUAGAGAUUGUGUGCAAGAAGAUGGAAUUCGGUGUUGAGGAUAUGCGAAGACCAAUUGAAAGGCCAAAAGAAGUCAUGUAUGUUAUAUUCUAUUCCUAUUUUUUAGAUUUGUUUUGUUGGUCUUAGCCCAAUAUUUUGUAAUUAGGAUAAAUGAGGGUUAUCUCUCAAGGAUUGAACAAUUUACACUUUACAUUACAAUUCUCUAAUUUAGAAUUUGGUAUUCUCUUCCCCAUCAUGAGUGAGUAAUUCCCUUUGUUUCUAGAAUUGGGGCUAUGUCAUUUUAUAUUCAAUAAACAUUUGUUCUUACUUCUAUUCCAUUGAGUAUUAUGAUUUGAAUCAUUAAACCGAGUUUUAUUCGUGUGAGUUGUCUGGUCAGCAAAUUACACAUCUUAGAUACAUUGGGGAAGAACUGAGAGGUGAACCCAACUAUCUGAUCAUUCAAUUAUUCAAACUAGAAUCCUAAUUCACGAGAGUAGUCUUAGGUUUCUAUGAGGGUUCUAGAAUUCACCUUGGGUUGCUACAAAGAGAUUGGAUAGAAAGAUCCAAGUAAAUGAUUUAAUUGAUAAUUGUACCACGAGAGUAGGUGCGA
This 2442-nucleotide long non-coding RNA is filed under the name Lupinus angustifolius (narrow-leaved blue lupine). RNAcentral describes it as "long non-coding RNA (LANG_LNC003717)". Lineage: Eukaryota; Viridiplantae; Streptophyta; Magnoliopsida; Fabales; Fabaceae. The record is from RNAcentral.